This 728-nucleotide ribosomal RNA is filed under the name uncultured bacterium. Its description in RNAcentral is "bacterial SSU rRNA". It matches the Rfam family "Bacterial small subunit ribosomal RNA", at positions 772 to 1500 of the family's 1533-position model. The record is from RNAcentral.
ACAGGAUUAGAUACCCUGGUAGUCCACGCCGUAAACGAUGUCGACUUGGAGGCUGUUUCCUUGAGAAGUGGCUUCCGGAGCUAACGCGUUAAGUCGACCGCCUGGGGAGUACGGCCGCAAGGUUAAAACUCAAAUGAAUUGACGGGGGCCCGCACAAGCGGUGGAGCAUGUGGUUUAAUUCGAUGCAACGCGAAGAACCUUACCUACUCUUGACAUCCACGGAAUUUGGCAGAGAUGCCUUAGUGCCUUCGGGAACCGUGAGACAGGUGCUGCAUGGCUGUCGUCAGCUCGUGUUGUGAAAUGUUGGGUUAAGUCCCGCAACGAGCGCAACCCUUAUCCUUUGUUGCCAGCGAUUCGGUCGGGAACUCAAAGGAGACUGCCGGUGAUAAACCGGAGGAAGGUGGGGAUGACGUCAAGUCAUCAUGGCCCUUACGAGUAGGGCUACACACGUGCUACAAUGGCGCAUACAAAGAGAAGCGACCUCGCGAGAGCAAGCGGACCUCAUAAAGUGCGUCGUAGUCCGGAUCGGAGUCUGCAACUCGACUCCGUGAAGUCGGAAUCGCUAGUAAUCGUGGAUCAGAAUGCCACGGUGAAUACGUUCCCGGGCCUUGUACACACCGCCCGUCACACCAUGGGAGUGGGUUGCAAAAGAAGUAGGUAGCUUAACCUUCGGGAGGGCGCUUACCACUUUGUGAUUCAUGACUGGGGUGAAGUCGUAACAAGGUAGC